UGGGGAAUCUUGCCCAAUGGGCGAAAGCCUGAGGCAGCAACGCCGCGUGUGGGAUGACGGCCCUCGGGUUGUAAACCACUUUCAGCAGGGACGAAAUUGACGGUACCUGCAGAAGAAGCCCCGGCCAACUACGUGCCAGCAGCCGCGGUAAUACGUAGGGAGCGAGCGUUGUCCGGAUUUAUUGGGCGUAAAGCGCGCGUAGGCGGUUUGAUAAGCCGGGUGUGUAACCUCCAAGCUCAACUUGGAGCGGCCACUCGGAACUGUCAUGACUUGAGUCAGGUAGGGGAACACGGAAUUCCAGGUGUAGCGGUGAAAUGCUUAGAUAUCUGGAGGAACACCAGUGGCGAAGGCGGUGUUCUGGGCCUGUACUGACGCUGAUGCGCGAAAGCGUGGGGAGCGAAC
This 402-nucleotide ribosomal RNA is filed under the name uncultured bacterium. Its description in RNAcentral is "bacterial SSU rRNA". It matches the Rfam family "Bacterial small subunit ribosomal RNA", at positions 355 to 773 of the family's 1533-position model. The record is from RNAcentral.